GCUAGCGGCGCGCUUAAUGCAUGCAAGUCGAGCGAUGAGGCUCCUACGGGAGUACAUCAGCGGCAGACGGGUGAGUAACACGUAGGUGACCUGCCCCAAAGACGAGGAUAACGGCUGGAAACAGUCGCUAAUACUCGAUAGUCUUGUGGAGUCGCAUCCACAAGUAAAGGUUCCGGCGCUUUGGGAGGGGCCUGCGGCCUAUCAGCUAGUUGGUGAGGUAACGGCUCACCAAGGCGAAGACGGGUAGGGGG
This 251-nucleotide ribosomal RNA is filed under the name uncultured bacterium. RNAcentral's name for it is "partial 16S ribosomal RNA". It matches the Rfam family "Bacterial small subunit ribosomal RNA", at positions 35 to 290 of the family's 1533-position model. The record is from RNAcentral.